GACUAGACUAUUUUUAAAGGCCAGGUGUUAUUAGUGAUAGCCAGAUGACGACUUAUGUCUGGAACAACAGUAUAUAAGAUAGACUCUGCAAAAUAGAAUAGGGUUUGACUUUCUGAGACUCUGGUCUCUCUAUCUUUUCAGCCCACUUCCUCUUCUUUGGCUUCACUCGACAACUCUUAGACUCAGACUUAGAACUCUUACAGUUUAUGGAGGCACCGCUGGGAUAGAUCGAUCCUUGAAGUACAUUUGAUGCAUCGCAAGGAAAGAUAAAGAGAGCAUGGGGGACACGAGCUCAAGACAUCGUGGAACAACAAAAGAAGGGACUGGUUGCUGCAGUUGGUCAGCCCUCUGCUCCAGCAUUUCGCUGUUAUCAUUGCCAGCGCGAUGGUCACUACACAAACAGGUGCCCUGAUCAAAAUUUAGAGCGAAAUUUCAGAAAGCCUAGUUCCUCUUUUCAACAACAGCAGACACCAAAACCACUUCCUCGAGAUUGUGCUUAAAAAUAACCCUGGUGCAGAGAAGCAGGGUGCUGACAUGGAGAAUCAGAUAAAACAAACUCAUGCAGCAGGUUGAAAAAUUGACAAGAGCUUUUGAGAAUACAGACUGACAGAUAGUGGCCUCCAUUUUAUAUGAGCAUGAAGACCCUCGUCCAUUUUUUUACAUUCUAACCUAGGAGGCCAGGAUAGCUACAUUCUUGUGGGCCCCCGGGUCUGCAUCUCAGUAACUGUUAUUAAUUUGCCUUUAACAAACAAACAAAUGCAUCUUCAAGGUAUAUCUGGUCACAGUCUUUUCACACAGUCUCUAUUGAUUUCUCCAAUAAUAUAUCCAUUUGAACAGCCUUUUUGUGUGCAAUUCUGGGUUGGAGAAAGCCAAGUUGGCAUGGUAAUGGGAAUGGAUAUAUUGAGUAAAUUGGAAGCAGAUGUUUUGCUGACUAGGGGUCAAUUAAUUAGUCAGUGUUUACCAAUUCCCAUACCAGUGUUUAAUAAAACUGGAAUUUCUAAAUUAAGCCUUGGAGCUAUCACAGUUAAUGAAGUCACAGAGGUCUACUGAUUCCUCAGUGAUACAAUAUUUCUCUGAGAAAUUUCCAAAUUUGUGGUCAACUUCUAAACUUGAUGUUGGUCUUGGCAGGAUUGAGCCUUUGAAUGUUUCAGGUCGGUCCAUCCUAUACAUCCUCCAGUAUUCCAGUAUCCUCUUUAGAGAGAAGCAGAGUGAGCUGCACAGGAAAUUGUGAACCAGCUUCAGGAAUCAGGGAUUUUGGUAAGGUGUACUUCCUCAAUGAACUUACCUAUGCAGCCUGUGUGAAAAAAAUAAAUAAAUAAAAAGCCAGAUGGUAGCUAUAGGUUAACUAUAGACUACACCGCAUUGAAUGCUGUGACUCCUAAAAUAACUCCUAUUGUUGCUAACCCGUCAACCAUCCUCAAUGACAUUUCUCCGAACCAUUGCUAUUUUAGCGCAGUAGACAUAACCAAUGGUUUUUGGUCUUGUCCUAUCAGAAGAGAAGAUCAAUACAGAUUUGCCUUUCAAUAUUGUGACGACAUUCUUCUCACAUCUCAAGACAAAGCACAACACUUGAGUGUACUCACUCGGUUGUUGAAAGCUCUCCAAGAGGCGGGUUUCCUCUUGAACAAAUGAAAAGCCCAAUUGUUUCAAUCGGAAGUUACAUUUUUAUGUCAAAGUAUAGGUCGUGAGGGAAAGAGACCUCUUCCAGACCGGGUCAUAGCCAUUACUCAAUUCAAUAAGCCAACCACAGUUACUGGUUUAAGAUCAUUAAUGGGGCUAUUUAAUUUUAAUCGGAUGUAUAUCCCAGAUAUUUUUCUGAUUUGGCUAAACCUCUAACAGAGGCUCUUAAAGGAGGCCUUCCGGGUGCUUCCCCUUUGGAGUGGACAGCAGACAUGGCUGAGUCCUUUACUCUCCUCAAAUCCACAUUACUCUCCUCUCCCGCGUUAUAUCACCCCGACAUGACAAAGACAUUCCAUGUAUGGACACAUGUUGGCCCAAGUGCUUAUAACUGUGUGCUGGGACAAUGUAAAGGUGACAAAAGUUAUGGCAUUGUUGGGUAUUAUUCAACUUUGAUUCCCUCUUCCAUGAAUGGACAGAUGCCAGAUGCCAUCGUUUUCUACGCCUGCUCGCAGAGACAAAAAUAAAGUCGAUUUCAAAUCAACGACGUGCAAAAUGGGAAACUGCUCUCAUGAACCCUCAGCUCACUGUUGUUGCAGACAACCGGACAAAUUCUGCCUCCCUAAUGGAGAAUGAGGGGAGUGCACACGACUGCGCUGAGGUAAUUAUCUGUGACAGGGGACAUUUUGUCAGAGAUUAACUGUUUUCAGAUUCUCUGGCCAUGUUCGUGGAUGGCAGCAGUUUCUACUCUACGAGGGUGACACGCGCUAUACGGGCUGGGCGGUAGUAGAAGGGAAGACGGGCGAGGUCUUGGCUGAGGGGUCGCUUCGGGGAGGAAGUGCUCAGAUAGCUGAAUUGCAUGCUUUGAAAGCUGCCUUAAAUCUGGCUCUUAAACUAACUGCAGGUGAAAAUAGCUCCACUAAUAUAAAUAUUUUUACUGAUAGUGCAUACAGAUACCAUGUAUUGCAGAGUUAUGUCCCUGUUUGGAAACAUCGUGGUUAUUUGACCACAGCGGGUACUCCAAUAAGUCAUCAAACCAUGAUUGAAGAAAUUCUUGACACGUGUGAGAAAAUUCCACCAAACAGUGUCACGGUGUGUAAAGUCACAGUACUUUCAAUGAUUGGUUGGCGAAAGGAAACUCUCUAGCUGAUAAGGCUGCGAGAGAAGCUGCAAAGGGUGUGGCACUUGAGGAAGUAGUUGUUAUUUUCCCUGUUCAUCCUGAUUGCAUGGGUUCCGAAACUUUAUCUAAAUUGUACACAACUGAGGAUCGUGAAAUGUGUCAAAAAUUAGGAGCUACCUUAACUGAAGAAGGGGUUUAUGCUCUGAAUGACAAAGUCAUUCCGCCUAGCGGAUAUCAAACCAAACUGAACUAAUUGAUCUGUACCAGAGCAUUGCACACCAAGGGGUUCAGAAAACAUAUGCUAUGUUACAACAAACAUGGUUUUGGUCAGAGAUGUUACAAACUGUGAAGGAUAGACUGUCCAGAUGUAUCCACUGUUUGCAAAACGAAGCCAUAAUUUGGAAAAGGUAAAAUCCCAAUUGGUCACAGUCCUCGCCGGUGAGGACCAUUCACACAUUUACAAUUGGAUGUUAUUUGGUUACCUUCUGAUUAUGGGUACAAAUAUGUACUAGUUUUUGUCUGUAAAUUUUCCAGAUGCUCUGAAAGGGUAUAUUGGAUUUUCAGUCCCUCUCAUUGCACCAUGGUUCGGGAAUGAUAGAUUUUCAUAAAAUAGGGGUAACUUUACUGGGAUUUAGGUUUAUAAGCAAUGUCUGUAUUUGGUAACUGUGAGGUGACUGAGGGUCUGACCUAUGUCAGGAAUGCAAUAACAGUGAUUAUUCAUUUAGCCCGGCUUCCAGAGAAUAAUACAUAUAUAUGUUUAUGGCAAUAAAUUUAUUUUACGAUAUAACAAAUUAAUCAAAAUUCAUCAUAGUUGUAUAAGACAUAUAAAAAGAAUUCAAAUAAGUCAAAUUUCUUUCUAAAAAGGUCUUUGGGUUUAACUGUACAUUCCCCUACAGCUCCAUUAUUGCUCGUAGGUCCCUCGGGUCCAUUGAAGGACACUUUACAGGAGUAUCUUAAAGUACUCACGUGCGCAUUAAGAAUGCCCAUUUCAGUGCCCUCAGUGCUCAACAUGCUGGAGAUCUUAAAAACGCUAUAUUCAAUGUAAAGGUUAAAAAUCACGUACAAGUGGGGGACAAAGUGAUGAUACAGAAAAUAGGGAACUUAUGUUAGGACCAAUGUCCUCCAGGUAUGAGGGUCCUUCUUCGGUGUUGUUGACUACUCCAACAUCUCUUCUUGUUGAAAUCGAGCCAGGGCUGACUCGAUGGAUGCAUCUUGCACAAGUGAAGCCUCUGUCGCCGCUUGCCGAUACUAACUCUCUCUCUAAUGUGAUUUAGUCCAACAGGUGCAGUACUUUAUAUCCAAGGAAUGGCUUCUAAGGAAGAACAAUGACUAAUUGUUUCCUCUCUUUAGGUUCUCAACUAUGAUUCCAUCCGGACCUGUUGUGUUAAUAUAUAUAUAUAUAAAAAAAGAGAAACUGAAAACCAUGGUGUUUGUGUUUAUGUGUAUUGGUGUUGUCCUGUUUGGUUGUCUAUGUGUCGUUGUGUGUGUUGUGUUUUUAUCCAAAAAUUUCUGCUCCUACUAUUCUAUAUCUCUAAAAGGUACGAGUGCAUGCUGUCACAGAAAUAUUCUGCGUAUAUUUACCACACACGACUGGUUCUAAGGGUGACCCUUUGAUGUGACUUCUGCAACAGUGCAGCUCAUUGACAUUCUGGGAGUGGUUGCUGUGCUCGUGGCUGGACAUCAGUGUUUCAUUGCAUCAUCAUAACAUCACUUGUUUACUAACUCUACGCCAUCUGAGAGACCUGUGCUAAGUCUACCGACAUAUAUAUAUAUACAUUUGUGAAGGGUAAGGAAAGGUUUGAGAUGUUGAAAAUGAUCAACGAAAGUUUGGAAAUUAACGACAUGGUACCAUAAGGACAAAUAUCUUCAACUACUACCUCCCAAGGGCAAGAAGAGAAAGAACGAUGAUAGAGUUUAGAGUUGGGAAAGAUGGAAGGCUGUGGUAAGUCCUCAACCCAGCAAAAGUCCAGGGGACGCCAGGGGUCGAAUUUCCUUAGGAGUUCUCGUCUGGCCAUCUUGGUGAAGAUCUUUGUUAAUUUUAAGGUAGCUGGGGUUAGAGAGGUAUCUACAGUACUAUCUAUCUGAAAUUUUGCUAUUGAUUUUCUAUAUUUUCAUGUAUGCAUCAUGUAUUUUUCUUUUGAAUUACUCUGUAUUUCUGUAUUUUUGGUUUUGAUUUAAGGAAAAGGUUGUGGCGAGUCUUUUGAUAAGACUCGAGUGGGGGAUUGGUGUGUGGAGAUUCUAAGAAAUCCACAUGGUGAUAGAGAUUCUGAGAAGAAGUCCACGUAUUUAAAUUAAACCCAAGUGUUGCUGAGAGAUUCUGAGAAGUCACGUACUCAAAAUGUGUUCUAUUCAUAAUAAGUUUCAUUUCAAAAGUUAAAAAUUAAUAUUUCAUGGUAAGGAUCUGUCUCAUAUAUAUAUAUAUUAACAGGUUUCAUUUUUAUAUUCAAAAAUGUUUUAGGUAAACUUUAUGGUAUAUUUCAUAUGUAAUUUCACAGUAUUUCUAACUGCGUAGUCAGCUGAGUCUGUUUUGCAUAUGAAGUUGAAACAAACUGGAACAACAGUUCCCUUUCAGUCGGUCACUCUCGACGCCACGUCGGUGACCGACGAAAAUGGGAUAUCGCUUCGAUAGACCAAUCUACUUCGAGUGU
Molecule: long non-coding RNA, 5385 nt
Organism: Cyprinus carpio carpio
Lineage: Eukaryota; Metazoa; Chordata; Actinopteri; Cypriniformes; Cyprinidae
Source: Ensembl